Molecule: ribosomal RNA, 218 nt
Filed under: uncultured bacterium
Lineage: Bacteria
Description: partial 16S ribosomal RNA
Rfam family: Bacterial small subunit ribosomal RNA
Source: RNAcentral
CGUGGGUAACCUGCCUCAUACAGGGGGAUAACAGUUAGAAAUGACUGCUAAUACCGCAUAAGCGCACAGCAUCGCAUGAUGCAGUGUGAAAAACUCCGGUGGUAUGAGAUGGACCCGCGUCUGAUUAGCUAGUUGGUGAGGUAAAGGCCCACCAAGGCGACGAUCGGUAGCCGGACUGAGAGGUUGAACGGCCACAUUGGGACUGAGACACGGCCCAG